Macaca mulatta (Rhesus monkey) is the source of this 456-nucleotide long non-coding RNA. RefSeq lists it as uncharacterized. NCBI's taxonomy places the organism in Eukaryota, Metazoa, Chordata, Mammalia, Primates, Cercopithecidae. The record is from RefSeq and is a predicted model, not a curated record.
GAGGACUGCAGUCAGCGAUUUAAACCUCCCGGCCACUUUUUCUUUACAGCCGCGUUUCCCCCCGGGCAGGAAGGGCUUCUGCCCUGGCCUUUGUAGCCAGUUUUAAGUUUUAUCGGCUAGUUCAUACUUGCAUAGAAAGAGUGGUCGUUUGCUCUGAGUCAUCACUGUGUAGUAUUGGGGAUACUUAGGUGAGAAAAAAAAAAACAACGCUAGAGACGUGCAUGCACUAGUGGAGAAGUCAGGAUUGUUGCCCUAGAGUUACAGUAGAUAAAAGUACCAUGAGAGAACUGCGGGGGCUCCCAACCUGGAUGCCUGCACCGGAGUAUUAAAUCCAGCUAGAGAAUGGCAUGUGCAAAGAUACAGAGCUACGGUCAAAUGGGCAGCUGAAGAUGAUGAUGAAGAUGAUCUUGACACCGAGAAGCAGAAUACCAAUGAGGAUGACCAGACAGCAAAAAA